AAAAAUAAAAAUUGAAUUUUUUUUAAUUUGUGCAAAAACAAUUAUUAUUAUUAAAGACAAGAAGACCCUAAGAAUUUAUGAUUUUGCAAUUAGAAUUUUUUUCAAAAAAUCUUGAUUGGGGCGAUCAAAAAAUAUUAAUAACUUUUUAAAUUUAAAUUGAUCUAUUAUUAAUAAACUAAUGAAUUAAAUACUCUAGGGAUAACAGCGUAAUAAUUUUUGAUAGAUCUUAUUGACAAAAUAGUUUGCGACCUCGAUGUUGGAUUAGGAUCCUUUUUUAAUGAAGAAGUUAAAAAAAGAAGUUUGUUCAACUUUUAAAUUCCUACUUGAUC
This 329-nucleotide ribosomal RNA is filed under the name Hyalomma anatolicum. RNAcentral describes it as "partial large subunit ribosomal RNA". The stretch from base 198 to 329 matches the Rfam family "Bacterial large subunit ribosomal RNA", at positions 2473 to 2605 of the family's 2925-position model. The record is from RNAcentral. Lineage: Eukaryota; Metazoa; Arthropoda; Arachnida; Ixodida; Ixodidae.